Molecule: ribosomal RNA, 253 nt
Filed under: uncultured bacterium
Lineage: Bacteria
Description: partial 16S ribosomal RNA
Rfam family: Bacterial small subunit ribosomal RNA
Source: RNAcentral
UACGGGGGGGGCCAGCGUUGUUCGGAAUUACUGGGCGUAAAGGGCGCGUAGGCGGCCUUCUAAGUCAGACGUGAAAUCCCUCGGCUCAACCGGGGAACUGCGUCUGAUACUGGAAGGCUUGAAUCCGGGAGAGGGAUGCGGAAUUCCAGGUGUAGCGGUGAAAUGCGUAGAUAUCUGGAGGAACACCGGUGGCGAAGGCGGCAUCCUGGACCGGUAUUGACGCUGAGGCGCGAAAGCCAGGGGAGCAAACGGG